UACGUAGGGUGCGAGCGUUGUCCGGAAUUACUGGGCGUAAAGAGCUCGUAGGUGGUUUGUCGCGUUGUCCGUGAAAACUCACAACUCAAUUGUGGGCGUGCGGGCGAUACGGGCAGACUGGAGUACUGCAGGGGAGACUGGAAUUCCUGGUGUAGCGGUGAAAUGCGCAGAUAUCAGGAGGAACACCGGUGGCGAAGGCGGGUCUCUGGGCCGAUACUGACGCUGAGGAGCGAAAGCGUGGGAGCGAACAGG
This 252-nucleotide ribosomal RNA is filed under the name uncultured bacterium. Its description in RNAcentral is "partial 16S ribosomal RNA". It matches the Rfam family "Bacterial small subunit ribosomal RNA", at positions 524 to 776 of the family's 1533-position model. The record is from RNAcentral.